CAGUAGGGAUCUUCCACAAUGGACGAAAGUCUGAUGGAGCAACGCCGCGUGAGUGAAGAAGGUUUUCGGAUCGUAAAACUCUGUUGUUGGAGAAGAAUGUAUCUGAUAGUAACUGAUCAGGUAGUGACGGUAUCCAACCAGAAAGCCACGGCUAACUACGUGCCAGCAGCCGCGGUAAUACGUAGGUGGCAAGCGUUGUCCGGAUUUAUUGGGCGUAAAGCGAGCGCAGGCGGUUUUUUAAGUCUGAUGUGAAAGCCUUCGGCUCAACCGAAGAAGUGCAUCGGAAACUGGGAAACUUGAGUGCAGAAGAGGACAGUGGAACUCCAUGUGUAGCGGUGAAAUGCGUAGAUAUAUGGAAGAACACCAGUGGCGAAGGCGGCUGUCUGGUCUGUAACUGACGCUGAGGCUCGAAAGCAUGGGUAGCAAACAGGAUUAGAUACCCUGGUAGUCCAUGCCGUAAACGAUGAGUGCUAGGUGUUGGAGGGUUUCCGCCCUUCAGUGCCGCAGCUAACGCAUUAAGCACUCCGCCUGGGGAGUACGAUCGCAAGAUUGAAACUCAAAGGAAUUGACGGGCC
This 575-nucleotide ribosomal RNA is filed under the name Lactobacillus sp. RNAcentral describes it as "bacterial SSU rRNA". It matches the Rfam family "Bacterial small subunit ribosomal RNA", at positions 352 to 919 of the family's 1533-position model. The record is from RNAcentral. Lineage: Bacteria; Bacillati; Bacillota; Bacilli; Lactobacillales; Lactobacillaceae.